UACGUAGGUGGCGAGCGUUGUCCGGAUUUACUGGGCGUAAAGAGCGCGCAGGCGGUUGAUCAAGUCGCAUGUGAAAGCCCCCGGCUCAACUGGGGAGGGUCAUUCGAUACUGUUCAACUUGAAGGCAGGAGAGGGAAGUGGAAUUCCCGGUGUAGGGGUGAAAUGCGUAGAUAUCGGGAGGAACACCAGUGGCGAAGGCGAGUUCCUGGCCUGUUCUUGACGCUGAGGCGCGAAAGCUGGGGGAGCAAACGGG
This 253-nucleotide ribosomal RNA is filed under the name uncultured bacterium. RNAcentral describes it as "partial 16S ribosomal RNA". It matches the Rfam family "Bacterial small subunit ribosomal RNA", at positions 524 to 776 of the family's 1533-position model. The record is from RNAcentral.